This 870-nucleotide ribosomal RNA is filed under the name Cheilymenia stercoraria. RNAcentral's name for it is "eukaryotic LSU rRNA". It matches the Rfam family "Eukaryotic large subunit ribosomal RNA", at positions 77 to 964 of the family's 3401-position model. The record is from RNAcentral. Lineage: Eukaryota; Fungi; Ascomycota; Pezizomycetes; Pezizales; Pyronemataceae.
GCCUUAGUAACUGCGAGUGAAGCGGCAAAAGCUCAAAUUUGAAAUCUGGCGUCCUCGACGUCCGAGUUGUAAUUUGGAGGGAUAUCUUCGGGGAUGGCGCCGUCCUAAGUUCCUUGGAACAGGACGUCAUAGAGGGUGAGAAUCCCGUGCCUGGAUGGCUGUCCAUCUCCAUGUGAAGUGUCUCCGACGAGUCGAGUUGUUUGGGAAUGCAGCUCAAAAUGGGUGGUAAAUUUCAUCUAAAGCUAAAUAUUGGCGAGAGACCGAUAGCGCACAAGUAGAGUGAUCGAAAGAUGAAAAGCACUUUGAAAAGAGAGUUAAAAAGUACGUGAAAUUGUUGAAAGGGAAGCGCUUGCGACCAGACUCGAUCUUUGGUGAUCAGCCGGGCUUCUGUCCGGUGCACUUGCCACUGAUCGGGCCAGCAUCGGUUCCGAGGGCGGGAUAAAAGGUUGAGGAAUGUAGCUUCUCUCGGGGAGUGUUAUAGCCUCGAUCAUAAUGCCGCCAUUCGGGACCGAGGACCGCGCUUCGGCUAGGAUGCUGGCGUAAUGGUCUUAAGCGACCCGUCUUGAAACACGGACCAAGGAGUCUAACAUCUAUGCGAGUGUUCGGGUGGAAAACCCUUGCGCGUAAUGAAAGUGAACGGAGGUGUGAACCCGCAAGGGUGCAACAUCGACCGGUCCUGAUGUCUUCGGAAGGAUCUGAGUAAGAGCAUAGCUGUUGGGACCCGAAAGAUGGUGAACUAUGCCUGAAUAGGGUGAAGCCAGAGGAAACUCUGGUGGAGGCUCGCAGCGGUUCUGACGUGCAAAUCGAUCGUCAAAUUUGGGUAUAGGGGCGAAAGACUAAUCGAACCAUCUAGUAGCUGGUUCCUGCCGA